Molecule: ribosomal RNA, 444 nt
Filed under: uncultured bacterium
Lineage: Bacteria
Description: bacterial SSU rRNA
Rfam family: Bacterial small subunit ribosomal RNA
Source: RNAcentral
GUAGGGAAUAUUGGGCAAUGGUCGGAAGACUGACCCAGCCAUGCCGCGUGCAGGAAGACGGCCCUCUGGGUUGUAAACUGCUUUUAUCUGGGAAGAAAAAGGCCAUGCGUGGCAAAUUGCCGGUACCAGAUGAAUAAGCACCGGCUAACUCCGUGCCAGCAGCCGCGGUAAUACGGAGGGUGCGAGCGUUGUCCGGCUUUAUUGGGUUUAAAGGGUGCGUAGGCGGCUGAUUAAGUCAGCGGUGAAAGACUUCGGCUUAACCGGAGCAGUGCCGUUGAUACUGGUUGGCUUGAGUGUCGGAAGAGUACAUGGAAUUGAUGGUGUAGCGGUGAAAUGCAUAGAUACCAUCAGGAACACCGAUAGCGAAGGCAUUGUACUGGCCGACAACUGACGCUGAUGCACGAAAGGGUGGGGAUCGAACAGGAUUAGAAACCCGGGUAGUCC